Molecule: microRNA, 24 nt
Filed under: Brachypodium distachyon (stiff brome)
Lineage: Eukaryota; Viridiplantae; Streptophyta; Magnoliopsida; Poales; Poaceae
Description: bdi-miR7772-3p
Source: miRBase by way of RNAcentral
AGAUCUCCAUGAACUGAGAAACGG